Molecule: ribosomal RNA, 508 nt
Filed under: uncultured bacterium
Lineage: Bacteria
Description: partial 16S ribosomal RNA
Rfam family: Bacterial small subunit ribosomal RNA
Source: RNAcentral
UGGGGAAUAUUGCACAAUGGGCGAAAGCCUGAUGCAGCAACGCCGCGUGAGUGAUGAAGGUCUUCGGAUUGUAAAGCUCUGUCUUUUGGGACGAUAAUGACGGUACCAAAGGAGGAAGCCACGGCUAACUACGUGCCAGCAGCCGCGGUAAUACGUAGGUGGCGAGCGUUGUCCGGAUUUACUGGGCGUAAAGGGUGCGUAGGCGGAUGUUUAAGUGAGAUGUGAAAUACCCGGGCUUAACUUGGGUGCUGCAUUUCAAACUGGAUAUCUAGAGUGCAGGAGAGGAGAAUGGAAUUCCUAGUGUAGCGGUGAAAUGCGUAGAGAUUAGGAAGAACACCAGUGGCGAAGGCGAUUCUCUGGACUGUAACUGACGCUGAGGCACGAAAGCGUGGGUAGCAAACAGGAUUAGAUACCCUGGUAGUCCACGCCGUAAACGAUGAGUACUAGGUGUAGGAGGUAUCGACCCCUUCUGUGCCGCAGUAAACACAUUAAGUACUCCGCCUGGGAA